RNAcentral lists this ribosomal RNA (552 nucleotides) under Hylomantis granulosa (granular leaf frog). RNAcentral's name for it is "partial large subunit ribosomal RNA". It matches the Rfam family "Bacterial large subunit ribosomal RNA", at positions 1854 to 2617 of the family's 2925-position model. Lineage: Eukaryota; Metazoa; Chordata; Amphibia; Anura; Hylidae. The record is from RNAcentral.
CAGCCUGCCCAGUGACUCUGUUCAACGGCCGCGGUAUCCUAACCGUGCGAAGGUAGCGUAAUCACUUGUUCUUUAAAUGAGGACUAGUAUGAAUGGCAUCACGAAGGUUAAACUGUCUCCUUUUUCUAAUCAGUGAAACUAAUCUUUCCGUGAAGAAGCGGGAAUAAUUUUAUAAGACGAGAAGACCCUAUGGAGCUUUAAACUAUUAGCAACUAUCUUAACUUUACCACAACAAUAAAACUUAUAUUGAUAGUCUGACUGCUAGUUUUCGGUUGGGGUGACCGCGGAGUAUAACUUAACCUCCACGAUGAAUGGGCCCGCUCCUAAACAAAGAGUUACAAUUCUAUGUAUCAAAAAAUUGACGCUAUUGACCCAAUACUUUGAUCAACGAACCAAGUUACCCUAGGGAUAACAGCGCAAUCCAUCUCAAGAGUUCAUAUCGACAAAUGGGUUUACGACCUCGAUGUUGGAUCAGGGUAUCCCAGUGGUGCAGCCGCUACUAACGGUUCGUUUGUUCAACGAUUAAAACCCUACGUGAUCUGAGUUCAGACC